RNAcentral lists this ribosomal RNA (90 nucleotides) under Lupinus angustifolius (narrow-leaved blue lupine). The record is from RNAcentral. Lineage: Eukaryota; Viridiplantae; Streptophyta; Magnoliopsida; Fabales; Fabaceae.
AAUAGUGUAUAAUCUAUUGUUCAUCAGCGUGCUUGGGCGAGGGUAGUACUUGGAUGGGUGACCUCCUGGGAAGUCCUCGUUUUGCACCUC